RNAcentral lists this ribosomal RNA (466 nucleotides) under uncultured bacterium. RNAcentral's name for it is "partial 16S ribosomal RNA". It matches the Rfam family "Bacterial small subunit ribosomal RNA", at positions 29 to 506 of the family's 1533-position model. The record is from RNAcentral.
ACGCACGCUGGCGGCGUGCUUAACACCUGCAAGUCGCACGGAAAGGCCCUGCUUUUGUGGGGUGCUCGAGUGGCGAACGGGUGAGUAACACGUGAGUAACCUGCCCUUGACUUUGGGAUAACUUCAGGAAACUGGGGCUAAUACCGGAUAGGAGCUCCUGCUGCAUGGUGGGGGUUGGAAAGUUUCGGCGGUUGGGGAUGGACUCGCGGCUUAUCAGCUUGUUGGUGGGGUAGUGGCUUACCAAGGCUUUGACGGGUAGCCGGCCUGAGAGGGUGACCGGCCACAUUGGGACUGAGAUACGGCCCAGACUCCUACGGGAGGCAGCAGUGGGGAAUAUUGCACAAUGGGCGGAAGCCUGAUGCAGCAACGCCGCGUGCGGGAGGACGGCCUUCGGGUUGUAAACCGCUUUCGCCUGUGACGAAGCGUGAGGGACGGUAAUGGGUAAAGAAACACCGGCUAACUACGU